UAGGGANUCUUCCGCAAUGGGCGAAAGCCUGACGGAGCAACGCCGCGUGAGUGAAGAAGGAUUUCGGUUCGUAAAGCUCUGUUGUUAGGGAAGAAUGAUUGUAUAGUAACUAUAUACAGUAGAGACGGUACCUAACCAGAAAGCCACGGCUAACUACGUGCCAGCAGCCGCGGUAAUACGUAGGUGGCAAGCGUUGUCCGGAAUUAUUGGGCGUAAAGCGCGCGCAGGUGGUUUAAUAAGUCUGAUGUGAAAGCCCACGGCUCAACCGUGGAGGGUCAUUGGAAACUGUUAAACUUGAGUGCAGGAGAGAAAAGUGGAAUUCCUAGUGUAGCGGUGAAAUGCGUAGAGAUUAGGAGGAACACCAGUGGCGAAGGCGGCUUUUUGGCCUGUAACUGACACUGAGGCGCGAAAGCGUGGGGAGCAAACAGGAUUAGAUACCCUGGUAGUCCACGCCGUAAACGAUGAGUGCUAAGUGUUGGUCUCAUAAGAGAUCAGUGCUGCAGCUAACGCAUUAAGCACUCCGCCUGGGGAGUACGACCGCAAGGUUG
RNAcentral lists this ribosomal RNA (548 nucleotides) under uncultured bacterium. Its description in RNAcentral is "bacterial SSU rRNA". It matches the Rfam family "Bacterial small subunit ribosomal RNA", at positions 355 to 896 of the family's 1533-position model. The record is from RNAcentral.